This is a long non-coding RNA of Melanotaenia boesemani (Boeseman's rainbowfish), 99 nucleotides long. RefSeq lists it as uncharacterized. NCBI's taxonomy places the organism in Eukaryota, Metazoa, Chordata, Actinopteri, Atheriniformes, Melanotaeniidae. The transcript is spliced from 3 exons. The record is from RefSeq and is a predicted model, not a curated record.
GUGAUGCUUUGCAGACAGCAGAGAGGUCAAAAGAAAGAUUACUCCAGUUAAAAAAGACACACUGCCCACCAUGCCUGUUUUUUGGGGGCAUUUUUCUUA